RNAcentral lists this unclassified non-coding RNA (339 nucleotides) under Hevea brasiliensis (rubber tree). The record is from RNAcentral. Lineage: Eukaryota; Viridiplantae; Streptophyta; Magnoliopsida; Malpighiales; Euphorbiaceae.
CACAAAGUUCACCUCAUAAGUAAACGAAACAGGCUCAUUUUCUUUAAUAGCCAUGGCAACAGUUGUUGGGUCGCACUUAAUUGGAUUCGGGUACUUAUUGUACAUUUUCAAGUUCUUUGCCGAAUCAGGAGCAUGUUGAACACUACAAGGAACAACCUCAAACCCAACAACCAUAUAACCAGGUUCCUCAGAUCCAUCCUUUCCAACUGUAGAGAUCACCUCAGCUCCAUCCCCAGUACCCAUAACCCGAGCCACAUUGGUCUCUUCAUACUUAUGAACAAGAACCGUAAACUUCAAGAUGCGUAUUACGUGUUUAAUCACUUGAAGUUUACGGUUCUU